Molecule: long non-coding RNA, 888 nt
Organism: Musa acuminata AAA Group (dessert banana)
Lineage: Eukaryota; Viridiplantae; Streptophyta; Magnoliopsida; Zingiberales; Musaceae
Exons: 3
Source: RefSeq, a predicted model, not a curated record
AGAAGUCAAUGCACUCUCAACCAAACUUGCAUGUGUUCUGAUGGUACCUAAUCUUCAUGUUUGUAUAUCCAUCAUUUAUUCAUGGAAAUGCAAAGAUGAAGCAUGAGGAGAGCUGAUGCUAGUUAUCUUCAAAAGAUGGAAGGGAACUAAUUAGAGACUCUGGAUUCUGCAUAAGUUGGCAUCUCACUGUCCUUUUUGAUUGGUUGGAGCCACAAGAAACCUCAACCAAGAAAAAUGGAAGUGGGUUGGAAGCAUCAAACUCCUCCACUGCACUCUUCUCCAGUUCUUCAUACCCUUCACAUCUCAUGUCAACAGGGCAAUACAGAAACCACCAAUAAAAGUGCUAUCUGGGCAAUGUGACAAGGGGACCAGUGCAAAAGCUUUUGUUGGGGAGCUAUUGGAUCCAUUUCUCCUUCCUUCCCCUUCUUCUUCAGCCUCUCUGUCCUUUUGCCUUUGGGAUGUGCUUUCAGUGGUCUUAAUAAUUCUCUGUGCCAAUGGCCCCUACCAUGCACCAGAAGCAUGAGGGUCUUUCUUUUUGUUCAUGUCAAGAGAAAGCAUGAAGCAAAAGAAUUCAUUGCAGCUCUCGAGAGAGGCCUGCAGCUGCAAGCGUGACUGCUGCUUCUGAAGCAUGCGUAGGGCAUUCUGACAAGAAGCAAAUGAUGUGUUUGUCGUUUCAACACACCCUAAAUACCACAUAAUCUUUGGUUUGGUUGUAAGAUUCUUCCAUCAUGACAUGAAAUAAUCAUGUCAUAUGUAAAGUUACUCUCUUUGUUCAAUAAGCCAUGUUGCUACACUCUCUUCGAACAAAAUCUAGAGAAUAGAUAGGUAUGCUUCUGCUAUGAUGAUAGCCUCUCUAGAUUCCUGAGUUGAUACAUGACAUGUUCAGAU